RNAcentral lists this long non-coding RNA (1339 nucleotides) under Homo sapiens (human). RNAcentral's name for it is "non-protein coding lnc-CASKIN2-1:2". Lineage: Eukaryota; Metazoa; Chordata; Mammalia; Primates; Hominidae. The record is from RNAcentral.
UAGGGACCGGGGCGUCGCGGCGAGACGCCUUUCCUCGGGGGGGGGUGCGGGGGGGCGCCCACCUCCUCCGUGUCGGCCGGAGGGUCUGCAACAGCGGGUGGAAUUUUUAGCACAAGCGAGGGAGGAGGUUGGAGCGACGAGAGGCGGGAGCGGAAAGGGCGCGGAGGCCGGGGCUGCAGCGCGCUCCACCGCCCAGCUGCAGGUGGCGCCUCUCGCCACCCGCACCCCGCUGCGCCCAGGGAAGGGCCGAUGGCGCGCCGUCCUCCCUCCUCCCUUCGGGAAGCCUGCGACGUCCCAUCCCCUCCGACGCAGGCCCGGGAAAGGCUCAAAAGGUUCGAGGUCGCGUUCCUGCUAUCCCGCGGGCUUCUCUCACUCUUAGAUCCCGCACCAGAGGAAGCGGAUCUCCUUGAGUGGGCAAAGCAGGGGUGAGGGGCUGGGGGCAGUUCCACUGACAACGGGACGGGGGCGAGAGGGGUUUACCCAGUACAUACAGAAACAGCAGAAAAGAAAUCUAUUUUUAAUGGCUUUGGCUUUAUAGCACGAAGCAGGCACCCUCUCGUUAAAGGCACACAGUCCUCUCUUCUGCCCCACCUCCUGGGUCCUUAAAAUCGAGUCCUGAGUUCCAGAGGGGUCACUGCAAGGCAGCAGGGAAGGGAGAGGGUCACAGUUUCACUCUGUGAGUAUCAGACACCCAGGGCCAAGGCCCAGACUGGCCUCUGAAGCUACAGGUUAGAGUCUGGGUACAGGAGGCAGCCGAGAUGGUCCCUGAGAACAGACAGUCCCGGUCCCCCGGAGCAAGCUCCAUCCUCUGCAGAGCUGUGAGGUCAGUGCCCCACAUCCUGGGGCAACGUGAAGUCCCUGAAGCUGUAGAAGGAGAUGUCACCAUGAUCCACCAGGGCAAAGAUCAGAGGGACAUCCCCACUCUGGUACUGCAGAGACGGCACUGCUUGGAAACUUACCGGGCACCUCCAUCAGGAAGGUGUGUUGUCUGCAGCACAGAGAUAUGCUGAAGGACCACGGCUACAAGGACACAGAAAACAAGGUACUGGGGAGGGGAGUCACAUUUCUCAGUCUGCCAUCUAGUUUAGGACGGCCAGAUUUAGCAACUUUUUUUUUUAAACGGAGUCUCACUCUGUCACCCAGGCUGGAGUAUAGUGGCGUGAUCUUGGCUCACUGUGACCUCUGCCUCCCAGGUUCAAGCAAUUCUCCUGUCUCAGCCUCCUGAGUAGCUGGGAUUAUAAGUGUGCACCACCACACCCGGCUAAUUUUUGUAUUUUUAGUAGAGAUGGUUUCACCAUGUUGCCCAGGUUGGUCUCGAACUCCUGACCUCAGGUGAUCU